This 237-nucleotide unclassified non-coding RNA is filed under the name uncultured fungus. Its description in RNAcentral is "sequence contains ITS2". The stretch from base 1 to 52 matches the Rfam family "5.8S ribosomal RNA", at positions 103 to 154 of the family's 154-position model. Lineage: Eukaryota; Fungi. The record is from RNAcentral.
AACGCACAUUGCGCCCCUUGGUAUUCCGAGGGGCAUGCCUGUUCGAGCGUCAUUAUGACCACUCAAGCCUAGCUUGGUAUUGGGGUUCGCGGUCUCGCGGCCUCUAAAAUCAGGGGCGGUGCCGUCUGGCUCUAAGCGUAGUAAUUUUCUCGCUAUGGGGUCCGGACGGUUGCUUGCCUAAACCCUCAACUUCUCACGGUUGACCUCGGAUCAGGUAGGGAUACCCGCUGAACUUAA